GUACACUCCUACGGGAGGCAGCAGUGGGGAAUUUUGGACAAUGGGCGAAAGCCUGAUCCAGCAAUGCCGCGUGAGUGAAGAAGGCCUUCGGGUUGUAAAGCUCUUUUGUCAGGGAAGAAACGGUGAAAGCUAAUAUCUUUUGCUAAUGACGGUACCUGAAGAAUAAGCACCGGCUAACUACGUGCCAGCAGCCGCGGUAAUACGUAGGGUGCAAGCGUUAAUCGGAAUUACUGGGCGUAAAGCGUGCGCAGGCGGUUUUGUAAGUCUGAUGUGAAAUCCCCGGGCUCAACCUGGGAAUUGCAUUGGAGACUGCAAGGCUAGAAUCUGGCAGAGGGGGGUAGAAUUCCACGUGUAGCAGUGAAAUGCGUAGAUAUGUGGAGGAACACCGAUGGCGAAGGCAGCCCCCUGGGUCAAGAUUGACGCUCAUGCACGAAAGCGUGGGGAGCAAACAGGAUUAGAUACCCUAGUAGUCCC
This 474-nucleotide ribosomal RNA is filed under the name uncultured organism. RNAcentral's name for it is "partial 16S ribosomal RNA". It matches the Rfam family "Bacterial small subunit ribosomal RNA", at positions 331 to 797 of the family's 1533-position model. The record is from RNAcentral.